Molecule: ribosomal RNA, 446 nt
Filed under: uncultured bacterium
Lineage: Bacteria
Description: partial 16S ribosomal RNA
Rfam family: Bacterial small subunit ribosomal RNA
Source: RNAcentral
CCUACGGGAGGCUGCAGUCGAGAAUCAUUCACAAUGGGGGAAACCCUGAUGGUGCGACGCCGCGUGAGGGAAUGAAGGUCUUCGGAUUGUAAACCCCUGUCAUGUGGGAGCAAAUUGGACAGAUAGUACCACAAGAGGAAGAGACGGCUAACUCUGGGCCAGCAGCAGCGGUAAUACAGAGGUCUCAAGCGUUGUUCGGAAUCACUGGGCGUAAAGCGUGCGUAGGCUGGUUUGUAAGUCGUGUGUGAAAGGCGCGGGCUCAACCCGCGGACGGCACAUGAUACUGCGAGACUAGAGGAAGGGAGGGGUAACCGGAAUUCUCGGUGUAGCAGUGAAAUGCGUAGAUAUCGAGAGGAACACUCGUGGCGAAGGCGGGUUCCUGGACAUUAACUGACGCUGAGGCACGAAGGCCAGGGGAGCGAAAGGGAUUAGAUACCCCUGUAGUC